Molecule: long non-coding RNA, 9274 nt
Filed under: Lactuca sativa (garden lettuce)
Lineage: Eukaryota; Viridiplantae; Streptophyta; Magnoliopsida; Asterales; Asteraceae
Description: long non-coding RNA (LSAT_LNC002761)
Source: RNAcentral
UUUACUCUUGGGGAGUAAACUCAAGCCCCAAGUCCCUAAUGCCAUUACACGUCCGAAGAUGUCACCCGGGUCACUCCAAACGGUCAUUUUGAGGUGUUUAACCUCAUUGGAGUGUAGUGUUCCAUAUGAUUAGUGAAUGUAUCCCUAAUUGUAUAUAUAUGGACAUUAUUUCAUUUUACAUACGGACCUCAUGAGUAAUCAAUCCCCGAACCAACGUCUAGUAUCCAAAACCGACGCAUUUCCGAGUCCGGUGAGUUCGUACCCCUACCUUUUUCACUGUUUUUCAAUGUUUUUCAGGGGGGGAACACAAGCAAAGUACAAGGGUUUUCUUGUACUCAAAACUUAUUUUCAUGUGUGUGUUUCACAUUUCAUAUGCUUUUAAUAUUGAUAUACACAACUGAUAACUAGUAGAAUACACAGAUCAUUUAAACAUUUAUUUGUGAAAUGGGUUUUAUAAACUGUUAUGUUUUAUAUAUUUCACAAAUGGUUUCCACAUUUUAUCAGUUAAAAACAUGACUUUACAACACAUGAACAAUAUAUUUCGUACACUGUCUUGUCCUCGGUAACAUUCCACAGAGAUACGUGAAUGGAGGAUUAUCCUAUUAUUACUAGUAAAUUUGUUAUUCCGUAUGAUUGGAGACACGUCUUCGGCGAACACUCCACAGAGAUACGCGAGUGGAGGACUACACCCGUAACCAGAAUCUCUGGAAUUUAGAGAGCGUGACUUGAGUGUAUUGAUCUAUACGGGGCUGACUACCCCACACCUGGCUGCUAGCUACAGCCGAACCGAAAUGGUUCAAGGGUGACGAAAGUCAUAAGGAUUGNUGUGGACUACAUUGCCACAAGGUUGUGGACUACUUAUUGCCACAAGUUCAGUCUUUAGUAUGGUUAUGGAACUCGCAACUAGGAUAACAGAGAUUUACUUAUAGUAAUAAUGAACCACUUACUACAUUUUAUAGAUACCCAGGAUUCAGUUUACAUCUUUCACAUCUUUUACAUCUUUUACAUCUUUUACAUAUGAUAACCAACAUUCAGGAAGGUAUGGGACCUUCCUGGGGAAACUUUGUACAUAACCAGGUUUAACAGAAUACAUCUUUCACAUUGAAAACCAACAUACAGGAAAGCAUGGGGCAUUCCUAGGUAUCAUACACAUAACCAGAAAAGUGUAACCAAUUGAAUAACAUUACAAUUUUUUUACAAUAACUAAUUCAGGAAAGUAUGGGACUUUCCUGGAAAUACACGGGUACAUAAAAGGAAUAGAACAAUAAAAUGGAUAAUCUAACUAUACUUUAGUUUUGUGAUACAACAACCAACUUUUAAUAAAAUAUGGGAUUUUCUUAGUGUGUGUUACAUUUUCUGAAACAAAAAGGAAACAUAAACAUUUUCACAAAACAAAACUACUUAUGAACUCACCAGCGUUAUGCUGAUUUUCAAACUGCUUGUGUUCUCAGGUCAACGAUAGUACAGGUACCCGAAGACUUACUUGGUUCAGGAUCGUGUGCGUGCAAGGCUCGUUCAUUUUGUUUAUAUCUAUAUUAUGUAUCACAACUGUAUAAACUGUGUCUUUUGAAACAAAUUGUAAAACUUUUAAUAUGUAAUGUAAUGUUUGUUUCACUUUACUUACUAUGUACAUUGGAUUUGAUACUCAACGUGGAGUCAACCCCGGAAAUGUUUCCGCCUUCGGUUUUCGGGGUGUGACAGAUUGGUAUCAGAGCCCUUGUUUAUAGUGAAUAAAGUAUACCAAACCUUACAUGGUAUAAAACUAUAAACACUAAAGGGCCUAAGUGCUCUGAAAUUAAAAGUAUUUUCAAACUACAAGUAUUUUUAAAAGUAUACAAGUAUACCAAACCGUCGAGAUUCGUAACUAUGAGUAGAACAAAACAUAAGUAAAUGGGUGUUGUGAACUGCGGUUAAACCUGGGCAGUUAUGUAGUCGUGUCUAGGGUCAAUAUAGCCUGGCCAACUGUAUUCAUUCGAGAAACGGCCAACAUGUGCUUGGGAGUGACUGUAGUAUGCGACAUGCCUAAAAUUUACUCUAAUACCACCAACAUCGAGUCUGUAUAGUAGCGAACCAUGAAAUACUAUUGGAGUAUUUCUCGAAUCAUCGUGCGCGUAUAGACCCCUGAUCAUUCCGAUAGCGAUAGUUUAUCUGCUUCAAUAACUCUUUCCUGUUUUAUCGCUUAUUUGGAAUUAAUAUCUGUCAUAUCUCUCGAUUCAAUUCAGAGGACUUAUCAUCCUCUCUCUUUCUUGAUCUUAUUAGAUCAAGAUGUCUCCCAGGAAGAGACCCAACUCCAACAACCCUCCGCCACCUCCUCCUGAAAUCGAUCCCGUGUUAUUUCAAACAGCUGUUACCGCCGCGGUGGCAGCUGCCAUGUCCCAGCUAAACACCGGUGGUUCAGGAGGUAGUAAUCAGAAUCAAGAUGGUAACCAGGAACACCGUAAGGAGGGUUCCUACAAGGACUUCAUGAAUGCGAAGCCUUCUUUCUUCAAUGGCACUGGUGGUGUCAUUUCCUUAUCUCGAAGGUUCGAUAGGAUCGAAUCCUUCUUUGAAAUUUGUGCCUGUGCUGAGUCCGAUAAGGUCAAGUUCGCAGCUUGUACCUUCCUUGAUAAAGCAUUGACUUGGUGGAAUGGCCGAGUCAAAUCCUUAACCCUCCCUGUAGCCAAUGCCAUGAGCUGGGAGGCUAUGAAAGAACUCCUCUUUGUUGAAUAUUGUCCCCGAGGUGAAAUGCAAAAGCUAGAGCACGAGCUCUGGAACCUGAAAAUGAAAGGUUCCGACAUUGCUACCUACACUUCCCGAUUUGAUGAUCUUGCCCUUCUUUGCCCUGGUCUAGUCACCCCUGAAAGCAAAAAGAUCGAGAGGUUUAUUUGGGGGCUAACCAAUCCGACAAAAGGUCAUGUCUUAGCUGCUCGCCCAGAUACUUAUGAUAGUGCUAAGACUUUAGCCCAAGCUAUAAUUCACCACAAUGAUGAUGUUGAGGAAGCCACCACUGCUACCCCUGAGUCGACUAAAAGCAGUGGUGAGAAAAGAAAAUUUUGGAAGAAGAAGAAGGGUCAAUCUUCCCAAGGCUCCUCCAAAAGACAACAAACAGUAGCGGUUCAUGCUGCUACUACCCCCAUAACUGAUGCUUCCGUUGUGGGAUCCACAGCUCCAACUCCUACCAACCGAUAUGUUGGUAACCUCCUUCUUUGUGAAAAAUGCAAGUAUCACCACAAUCAUGGUCCCUGUCGAGAACUAUCCUGUACCAACUGUGGUAAGAAGGGACACACCGUUCGAUACUGCAGAGCUCCGACCCAAUCAGUAAAUCAAUCCUUUGGAACAGGCGUUGGUCAAGCCUAUUAUAACUGUGGUGAAGCCAGACACUUUAAAAGGAACUGCCCCAAGAAGACUAUUGCUGGCAACACUAGAAGGGUCCUUGCUAUGGGACGGGAAGAAGCGAUCGCCGAUCCCAAUGUUGUCUCGGGUACGUUUCUUCUCGACAACUCGUAUGCUAAUAUUCUUUUCGAUUCGGGUGCUGAAAGAAGUUUUAUUAGUCAUGCAUUCAAACAUAACCUAAAACAUGAUUCCCAACCUCUAACCGAAAUAUUUACCGUCGAGAUGGCAAACGGAGAGAAAGAAAGUGCGAGUGAGGUAUUCGUAGAUUGCACUCUUACCUUGAACGACCAUUCAUUUCCUAUCGAUCUUAUGCCCGUAUCCAUAAAGAGCUUUGAUGUCAUCAUUGGCAUGGAUUGGUUGAGUCCCAAUCAUGCAGAUAUCCUUUGCUUCGAAAAAGCCAUCCGUCUCAACCUUCCUUCGGGUCAAACCCUAGUGAUUUAUGGCGAUAAACUCGGUUCCAACCUUCGUAUCAUUUCCUGCAUCAAAGCUCAGAAACUCCUGCGAAAGGAGUGUGUUGCAUUCUUGGCCCAUGUAAUCAACGAGAAACAAGAAGUUAAAGACCUCGCGAGCAUCCCCGAGGUCUGUAAUUUUCCUGAUGUGUUUCCCGAAGAGCUUCCAGGAAUCCCUCCCGAGCGUCAGGUCGAGUUCCAUAUUGACCUAAUUACUGGGGCUACUCCCGUAGCGAAGUCUCCGUAUCGCUUAGCUCCAACAGAGAUGCAGGAGUUAUCCAGUCAACUUAACGAGUUGCUUAACAAAGGAUUCAUUAGACCGAGUUCCUCACCCUGGGGAGCUCCGGUUUGGUUUGUCAAAAAGAAGGAUGGAUCCUUUCGUAUGUGUAUCGACUAUCGCGAGCUGAACAAAUUGACUGUCAAAAACCGAUAUCCUCUUCCACGAAUAGAUGACCUUUUCGAUCAACUCCAGGGAGCCAGUUACUUCUCUAAGAUAGACCUUCGGUCAGGGUACCAUCAGUUGCGAGUUCAUGAAAGUGAUGUGCCCAAAACAGCUUUCAGGACUCGAUAUGGACACUACGAGUUCGUAGUGAUGCCCUUUGGUUUAACCAACGCACCGGCAGUGUUCAUGGAUCUGAUGAACCGGGUGUGUCGUCCUUAUUUGGAUAAGUUUGUCAUAGUAUUCAUCGAUGACAUACUCGUCUAUUCCCGAAGUGAAGAAGACCACAAACAACACUUGAGGCUAGUGUUGGAAACCCUGCGAUCCGAGAAGUUGUACGCGAAGUUUCAAAAUGCGAGUUAUGGAUACGGAAGGUAACUUUCCUUGGUCACGUGGUAAGUGAGGAGGGUAUUCAUGUCGAUCCUUCCAAAAUUAAGGCAAUAGAGAAUUGGUCAGCACCGAAGACACCCACAGAAAUCCGACAAUUCUUGGGUCUCGCUGGCUAUUAUCGAAGAUUCAUCCAAAACGUUUCCAGAAUCUCCAACCCUCUAACCACUCUAACACAGAAAGGUGUACCCUUUUGUUGGGGUGAUAAACAAGAAACCGCAUUUCAGACGCUGAAGAAAGCUUUGUGCAGCGCGCCUGUCCUGUCCCUGCCCGAAGGGACAGAGGACUUUGUUGUAUACUGCGAUGCGUCUACUCAAGGUUUAGGCUGUGUGCUUAUGCAGAGAGGAAAAGUAAUUGCUUAUGCCUCUAGACAGUUGAAAGCACACGAGGUCAACUAUACCACACACGACUUGGAGCUAGGAGCCGUAGUCUUUGCAUUGAAGAUUUGGAGGCAUUACCUCUACGGAACCAAGUGCACGAUAUUCACUGACCAUAAGAGCCUGCAACACAUCAUCGACCAGAAAGACUUGAACAUGAGACAAAGGUGAUGGGUAGAAUUACUCAGUGAUUAUGAGUGUGAAAUUCGUUACCAUCCCGGCAAGGCCAAUGUGGUAGCAGAUGCCCUUAGCCGAAAGGAGAGUACAAGCAACAAGGUGAAGAGCCAGUCGAUAACCAUCCAUUCCAACCUACCCAUGCAAAUCCGAGAAGCUCAGUUAGAAGCCCUGAAACCCGAGAACAUGACAACUGAAGCUUUGAGAGGAAUGGAAAAGAAACUUGAGAUCAGAAGUGACGGAGUCCAUUGUUUUAUGGAUCGAAUCUGGAUUCCCAAGUCCGGAGGAUUUAGAGAAUUAGUCAUGGAGGAAGCACAUAGAACCAGAUACUCUGUUCACCCGGGCUCUGACAAGAUGUACUUAGAUCUCAAGAAACAAUAUUGGUGGCCAAAUAUGAAGGCUGAGAUAGCUUCAUUUGUGGGCAAGUGUCUGACUUGCGCCAAGGUAAAAGUUGAACACCAGAAACCCUCGGGUCUGCUCCAGCAACCUGAGAUACCUGAAUGGAAAUGGGAGAUGAUCACCAUGGAUUUCAUCACCAAACUACCCAAGUGCUCGAGUGGGUAUGAUACCAUUUGGGUGAUUGUAGAUCGUUUGACAAAGUCAACUCACUUUGUUCCAAUCAAAGAAUCAUACAAGAUGGAAAGACUCGCACGAAUUUAUAUUCAGGAGGUAGUCCGACUACACGGGGUACCUGCAUCCAUUAUCUCUGAUCGAGAUAGCAGGUUUACUUCCCGAUUUUGGCAGUCUCUUCAAAAAGCCCUUGGAACCCAACUAGACAUGAGCACGGCAUAUCAUCCUCAGACCGACGGACAAAGUGAGAGAACAAUCCAAACCCUGGAGGACAUGCUUAGGGCAUGUGUCAUUGACUUUGGAAAGUCGUGGGACGCACAUCUACCUUUGAUCGAAUUCUCGUACAACAACAGUUACCACACCAGCAUUAGGGCUGCCCCGUUCGAAGCCCUAUACGGUCGCAAGUGCAGAUCCCCUCUGUGCUGGGCCGAAGUGGGAGAUACACAGUUAGCCAAGAGUCGAGUCCCCGACAGUGCUCUUACUGGUCCUGAGAUCAUCCGUGAAACCACUGAGAAGAUUAUCCAAAUCCGUGAACGACUAAAGGCCUCACACGAUCGCCAAAAGAGUUACGCUGAUAAUCGUCGGAAACCACUAGAAUUCCAGGUUGGAGACCGUGUUCUGUUGAAGGUCUCGCCCUGGAAAGGCACUGUAUGUUUCGGUGAGCGUGGGAAACUUAAUCCGAGGUACAUUGGACCUUUUGAAACCAUCGCCAGAGAUGGUCCGGUAGCCUAUAAGCUUCAUUUACCUCACGAACUCAGCAACAUCCAUCCCGUCUUUCAUGUUUCAAACCUCAAGAAGUUCCUAUCCGAUGAAACCCUAGUAAUUCCGUUAGACGAGAUUGAGAUCGAUGAAAACCUCAACUUCGUGGAGGAACCGAUCGAAAUCAUGGAUCGAGAAGUCAAACGUACGAAACAAAGUCGCAUCCCGUUGGUGAAGGUUCGCUGGAAUGCCAAGCGGGGACCGGAGUUCACUUGGGAACGAGAAGACUCGAUGAAGCAGAAGUAUCCACAACUCUUUCUAGAUCUAUGAUUUGUAUUUUAUCUUUUUUCUUGUCUUGAAUUUCGGGACGAAAUUCCCUCUAACGGGGGGAUAAUGUAACAACCCGAAAUUUCAUAUCACUCUUGUAACUCAACUUGUAAUCCAAUUUGAUCAACCAAACGUCGUUUUCAAAUUAGUUUCCGACUUCGCCAUUUUAUUAAGUCAUUAGCUUAUAUCAAUCUAAAAUGACUUAAUGGGUGUCUUAAUACAUUUAGAAAUCAUUUUAACACCCCACUUUAGUAAUCGGAAUAAUUAUAGAAUCAACCAUAUCGAGUCACGACAAUUUGGUCGGGUAUGACCAAAAGUCCCACUUAACGUCGGUAUCGGGUAGAAUUCCGUCGUGUCCAAUUCCCGAACACUAUAUAAAGUAUUUUAAGACUUCAUUUGAAGCCUUUGGCCAAUUUCUCACUAAACUCUCACAACCUCUCUCCUCAAGCUAGAAUUAAGGUCCAAAUCUCAAAUUUAAGGCCUCAAAUCUCUAAGGUACUUUCCCUAGCUUGUAUUGUAACCUUCUUAGCCUUCAAAUUCGAGUUCAAAGCAUGGAUUAAGACCACAUUCAUGAGUUUAUGGCCAUGGAGCCUUCAUGGGCCGUAAACUCAUAUAACAUGGGUUUUUAAGCCCUAAAUCCCCUCCAAAGCAAUCUUUGGACUUUAGGUAUGGCUUAAUGACUUCAUGGACAUGACUUAUAACAUUUAAAUCAUGGAUUUUGAGCCAUUUGAAGGACUUUACGGCCAAGGCAUAAGCUUGGGCCGUAAACUCAUGUAAAUGGGGUUUUCAUGAACUUAAACCCUUCCAAAUCAUAGUUGGGACUUAGCUAUGACCUUAAGGCUUGCUAAUCUAGACUUGGAACACUUUAAACAUGAUUUUUGGGGGAUAAAAGUGAGUUUACGGCCAAGACAUAUUCUUGGGCCGUAAACUCCUCUUAAAUGGAGAUUUAGUGCCUUAAAACAUGUCAAAAUGCUUUGAAACUCAACCAAUGGCCUUGUGGUAAAAUCCAGAUGCAUCUCAAAAUAGUUUAAGGGUUUGUAACACAUCAAAAUGUCAUUUAUAGGUGUUUAUGGCCUAGGAACAUACCCUUGGCCGUAAACUCAUAAAACUUGUUAAAGGAUGCAUCAAAUUCACUCAAAUGGCUUGUAUAAAAUUCUAGAAUCACAUGUGAUUGUUUUUAAGCAUCAAAAACUAACUUCUCAUGAGUAUAAGAGAGUUUACGGCCAUAGAACAUGCCUCUAGGCCGUAAACUCCCAAAAGUAUGUUUAAUGGUGUUUUAAAUUCAUAACAAGGCUUGGAAAAUUAACUAGAAUCACGUGUGAUUGUCCUUUGUAAUUUAAAACCAUUUUUCUUGGCCAUAGGUGAGUUUACGGCUGUAAACUCCAAGGUGGUGGCCGUAAACUCCCUUCUUUGUGGUAUAAUUACAUUUAAUUCAUUCAAAGGCAUUUUAGCAAUCCAUUCCAACAAUCCCCAUGUCCAUUUAAGCCAUUAAACACCCAAAAAUCACACCAACAUGAGUUUACGGCCGUAAACUCAUGUGUGGAUGUGUUAUGUGGCUGUAAACUCCUUAAAAUGUUUACUCUUGGGGAGUAAACUCAAGUCCCAAGUCCCUAGUGCCAUUACACGUCCGAAGAUGUCACCCGGGUCACUCCAAACGGUCAUUUUGGAGGUGUUUAACCUUGUUGGAGUGUAAUGUUCCAUAUGAUUAGUGAAUGUAUCCCUAAUUGUAUAUAUAUGGACAUUAUUUCAUUUUACAUAGGGACCUCGCGAGUAAUCAAACCCCGAACCAACGUCUAGUAUCCAAAACCGACGCAUUUCCGAGUCCGGUGAGUUCAUACCCCUACCUUUUUCACUGUUUUUCAAUGUUUUUCAGGGGGGGGAACACAAGCAAAGUACAAGGGUUUUCUUGUACUCAAAAAUUAUUUUCAUGUGUGUGUUUCACAUUUCAUAUGCUUUUAAUAUUGAUAUACACAACUGAUAACUAGUAGAAUACACAUAUCAUUUAAACAUUUAUUUGUGAAAUGGGUUUUAUAAACUGUUAUGUUUUAUAUAUUUCACAAAUGGUUUCCACACUUUAUCAGUUAAAAGCAUGACUUUAUAACACAUGAACAAUAUAUUUCGUACACUGUCUUGUCCUCGGUAACAUUCCACAGAGAUACGCGAAUGGAGGAUUAUCCUAUUAUUACUAGUAAAUUUGUUAUUCCGUAUGAUUGGAGACACGUCCUCGGCGAACACUCCACAGAGAUACGCGAGUGGAGGACUACACCCGUAACCAGAAUCUCUGGAAUUUAGAGAGCGUGACUUGAGUGUAUAGAUCUAUACGGGGCUGACUACCCCACACCUGGCUGCUAGCUACAGCCGAACCGAAAUGGUUCAAGGGUGACGAAAGUCAUAAGGAUUGUGGACUACUUAUUGCCACAAGGCUGUGGACUACUUAUUGCCACAGGUUCAGUCUUUAGUAUGGUUAUGGAACUCGCAAC